UUUAAUUCGAUACAACACGCAAAACCUUACCAGCCCUUUACAUAUGAACAUGUCCUUAAUAGGAUGGUACUGACUUUCAUAAAGGUGUUGCAUGGCUGUCGUCAGCUCGUGUCGUGAGAUGUUUGGUCAAGUCCUAUAAUGAGCGAAACCCUUGUUUUGUGUUGCUGAGACAUGUGCCUAAGGAGAAAUUGCCACCGAGUGACGUGCCAGCGCUACUACUUGAUUGAGUGCCAUCACAUAGUUGUGCUUUCGGCAA
This 256-nucleotide non-coding RNA is filed under the name Triticum aestivum (bread wheat). RNAcentral describes it as "Bacterial small subunit ribosomal RNA". It matches the Rfam family "Bacterial small subunit ribosomal RNA", at positions 945 to 1161 of the family's 1533-position model. Lineage: Eukaryota; Viridiplantae; Streptophyta; Magnoliopsida; Poales; Poaceae. The record is from Rfam by way of RNAcentral.